RNAcentral lists this ribosomal RNA (433 nucleotides) under uncultured bacterium. Its description in RNAcentral is "partial 16S ribosomal RNA". It matches the Rfam family "Bacterial small subunit ribosomal RNA", at positions 29 to 507 of the family's 1533-position model. The record is from RNAcentral.
AGCGAACGCUGGCGGCAGGCCUAACACAUGCAAGUCGAACGGAUCCUUCGUGAUUAGUUGCUGACAGGUGAGUAACACGUGGGAACGUGCCCUUUGGUUCGGAACACCUCAUGUAAACUUGGGCUAAUACAGGAUGUGCUCUGCUGGUGACAGAUUUAUCGACAUUGUAGCGGCACGCGUCUGCUUAGCUUGUUGGUGAUGUAACGGCCCACCACGGCGUCGCUAGGUAGCUGGUCUGAGAGGAUGAUCAGCCACACUGGGUCUGAGACACGGCCGAGAAUCCUACGGGAGGGAGGCGUGGGGGAUCCUGCGAAAUGGGGGGAAGGCAGAAGGAGCCAUGGCGGGUGAAUGAUGAAGGUCGUAGAAUUGUAAAAUUCUUUCAGAGGGGACGAUAAUGACGGUACCCGAAGAAGAAGCUCCGGCUAACUUCGUG